Molecule: ribosomal RNA, 460 nt
Filed under: uncultured bacterium
Lineage: Bacteria
Description: partial 16S ribosomal RNA
Rfam family: Bacterial small subunit ribosomal RNA
Source: RNAcentral
CCUACGGGUGGCAGCAGUGAGGAAUAUUGGUCAAUGGACGAGAGUCUGAACCAGCCAAGUAGCGUGAAGGAUGACUGCCCUAUGGGUUGUAAACUUCUUUUAUAUGGGAAUAAAAUGUUCCACGUGUGGGAUUUUGUCUGUACCAUAUGAAUAAGGAUCGGCUAACUCCGUGCCAGCAGCCGCGGUAAUACGGAGGAUCCGAGCGUUAUCCGGAUUUAUUGGGUUUAAAGGGAGCGUAGGUGGAUUGUUAAGUCAGUUGUGAAAGUUUGCGGCUCAACCGUAAAAUUGCAGUUGAAACUGGCAGUCUUGAGUACAGUAGAGGUGGGCGGAAUUCGUGGUGUAGCGGUGAAAUGCUUAGAUAUCACGAAGAACUCCGAUUGCGAAGGCAGUUCACUGGACUGCAACUGACACUGAGGCUCGAAAGUGUGGGUAUCAAACAGGAUUAGAUACCCUUGUAGUC